GAUGAACGCUGGCGGCGUGCCUAAUACAUGCAAGUCGAGCGAACGGACGAGAAGCUUGCUUCUCUGAUGUUAGCGGCGGACGGGUGAGUAACACGUGGAUAACCUACCUAUAAGACUGGGAUAACUUCGGGAAACCGGAGCUAAUACCGGAUAAUAUUUUGAACCGCAUGGUUCAAAAGUGAAAGACGGUCUUGCUGUCACUUAUAGAUGGAUCCGCGCUGCAUUAGCUAGUUGGUAAGGUAACGGCUUACCAAGGCAACGAUGCAUAGCCGACCUGAGAGGGUGAUCGGCCACACUGGAACUGAGACACGGUCCAGGCUCCUACGGGAGGCAGCAGUAGGGUAUCUUCCGCAAUGGGCGAAAGCCUGACGGAGCAACGCCGCGUGAGUGAUGAAGGUCUUCGGAUCGUAAAACUCUGUUAUUAGGGAAGAACAUAUGUGUAAGUAACUGUGCACAGCUUGACGGUACCUAAUCAGAAAGCCACGGCUAACUACGUG
RNAcentral lists this ribosomal RNA (497 nucleotides) under uncultured bacterium. RNAcentral describes it as "partial 16S ribosomal RNA". It matches the Rfam family "Bacterial small subunit ribosomal RNA", at positions 28 to 507 of the family's 1533-position model. The record is from RNAcentral.